GAAAUCAUUUCAGGAACAAAAAUAUUUUCUGCCAAAAAUAUCUCAGGACUAUAAAUAGAAUUCUGAACCAAAUUCAUUCAUUAUUCGCAUUUCCAACUAGAGAAAAACCAUUUUCUCUCUCACGGAUCUUCGGGUUUUUAUCCCAAAUGUGAGUACCCCUCUCUAGUAGUGUUACAUAGCUUUAAAUGUGUUCAUAACAUAGAUUACAUAGCUAAAUCACNNNNNNNNNNNNNNNNNNNNNNNNNNNNNNNNNNNNNNNNNNNNNNNNNNNNNNNNNNNNNNNNNNNNNNNNNNNNNNNNNNNNNNNNNNNNNNNNNNNNAAGAACAGCCCAGACAACACAGCGAACUACUCAACAAUAGAAUUAAAAGACUAGGCUUCUCACCCUUGAGAGCUCCGGUCUUAUUCUUGCCAGAAGUCGACGGAGUGCAUUUUAUGUACCUCGACGACCGGAGACUUCAUUAAGAUUUCCUUUAGAAAUCGUUGUCUCUGCCUCGCAUAGACGAAUUGAUUGGGCAAACACAGGGAAAGAAUUUCUUCAGAAAUGGACCUGAGAUCCGAAUAUCACCAGUUCGAGUGUUAGGGAAGGAUGUCCUAAAGACUACCCUCCGAACUCGAUGCGGACACUUCGAGUCCGUAGUGAUACCCCUCGGAUAGGACCAAUACGCCCAUAGUAUUCAUGAGCUGAAUAAGUAGAGUACGCCUUUCUUACUGUGAUCAGUUCGUCAUUUCUCCAUAUAAUGACUACUUAUCUACCCUCGUAGUAAGAAAGAACCCAUAGAAACAUUACCCUCGGAGAUACUUUCCGCAAAGUUAUCUGAACAAGAGUUUUGGAAUUUAGAGUCAAAUCUCCUGAGACACACUUUUAGUGUUGUGGAAAUUCUUGAGUACUCUGUCAAAUUAUCCAAAACCGUUGGGAAUUUGUCGGCACCAUAGUCAUCGACGGAAAAUUCGCCAAAUUCUAGGUCUUACAGACCUACUAUCAUAGUCCAUUCGGAACUCCCCGUAAACUUCAGGAACCCUUUCGACUUUGACCCAGCAAGGGAUGGCCCUUGACUGGGAAGUAAGCGAGAGAAAGAACAUUUGGAAUUCCAAGUGAGAGACCAAAUUCUUUAGGAAACCUCACUCUGGGAACGGCUUAAUACGCUUCGUAAAGCGUGGAAAGCUAAAAUCCAAUAUAGUUAGGACCUCCGAGAUUCUUACCAGAAUCGGUCCUGCAUUUCACAAACUAGACCUACUCCGCGAACUCAGUAACGUACAUUUUCCCCUUCGCGUCUCGAACUUGAAACAGUAUCCUUCCAUUAGGACUUUCGUAAUCCCUCUCGACGAGAUCGAGAUUUACGAGAUCCUUGCCUUCGUAUUAGAACCGUAGUGACCCUCGACCGAGUGGCCAAGCGGACGAAGCAACGUCGUCGCUCAUUAGUGAAGCUUCGUUGGAAUAGCAACUGAGAACCCGAUUUCACUUGGAAGCGCGAGAGCAAAUCGAUUAGGAAGUUUUCACCUAACGACUCGAUCAUUUAUACCUACUUCCUUAUCUAAAUUCUAAUUUCGGGAUGAAAUUCCCUUUAACAGGGGGAUGAUGUGACAACCCGAAAUUUCCAUUCUGAACAAACCAUAUCAAGACAAUAGAGCUUAGAACAGUUUCAGUGAAAUUCCAGACUUCGGGUAUAAGUUUGGCAGUUUUUCAGGAUUUACACUUAAGGAGAUAUCAGGAGAGUGGUUGCACUAGGGUUUUGUGCAACACUGUUAUUCCAACACUCUGUUAUAUUAGAAAUCAUUUCAGGAAUAAAAAUAUUUUCUGCCAAAAAUAUCUCAGGACUAUAAAUAGAAUUCUGAACCAAAUUCAUUCAUUAUUCGCAUUUCCAACUAGAGAAAAGCCAUUUUCUCUCUCACGGAUCUUCGGGUUUUUAUCCCAAAUCGUGAGUACCCCUCUCUAGUAGUGUUAUAUAGCUUUAAAUGUGUUCAUAACAUAGAUUACAUAGCUAAAUCACUAGAUUUAGGAGUUUACUCCCCAAGGUGUUCUUGGGCGGUAA
Molecule: long non-coding RNA, 2031 nt
Filed under: Lactuca sativa (garden lettuce)
Lineage: Eukaryota; Viridiplantae; Streptophyta; Magnoliopsida; Asterales; Asteraceae
Description: long non-coding RNA (LSAT_LNC003845)
Source: RNAcentral